RNAcentral lists this ribosomal RNA (161 nucleotides) under Streptococcus pyogenes. Its description in RNAcentral is "Small Subunit Ribosomal RNA; ssuRNA; SSU rRNA". It matches the Rfam family "Bacterial small subunit ribosomal RNA", at positions 1353 to 1512 of the family's 1533-position model. The record is from RNAcentral. Lineage: Bacteria; Bacillati; Bacillota; Bacilli; Lactobacillales; Streptococcaceae.
CACGCCGCGGUGAAUACGUUCCCGGGCCUUGUACACACCGCCCGUCACACCACGAGAGUUUGUAACACCCGAAGUCGGUGAGGUAACCUAUUAGGAGCCAGCCGCCUAAGGUGGGAUAGAUGAUUGGGGUGAAGUCGUAACAAGGUAGCCGUAUCGGAAGG